This 253-nucleotide ribosomal RNA is filed under the name uncultured bacterium. Its description in RNAcentral is "partial 16S ribosomal RNA". It matches the Rfam family "Bacterial small subunit ribosomal RNA", at positions 524 to 776 of the family's 1533-position model. The record is from RNAcentral.
UACGAAGGUGGCAAGCGUUACUCGGAAUUACUAGGCGUAAAGGGCAGGUAGGCGGUCUCGUUAGUCUGUUGUGAAAGCUCCUUGCUUAACGGGGAGAGGCCAACAGAUACUGCGAGGCUUGAGUAUAGGAGAGGGUACUGGAAUUCCCGGUGUAGCGGUGAAAUGCGCAGAGAUCGGGAGGAACACCAAUGGCGAAAGCAGGUACCUGGACUAUUACUGACGCUAAGCUGCGAAAGCUAGGGGAGCAAACAGG